This 586-nucleotide ribosomal RNA is filed under the name Vermamoeba vermiformis. RNAcentral's name for it is "SSU rRNA". It matches the Rfam family "Eukaryotic small subunit ribosomal RNA", at positions 610 to 1198 of the family's 1831-position model. The record is from RNAcentral. Lineage: Eukaryota; Tubulinea; Echinamoebida; Vermamoebidae.
UUGUUGCAGUUAAAAGCUCGUAGUUGGAUUUCGGAAGGUCCUUAGUAAUCCGCCCCUUCGGGGAGCGGGUUACUGGCCUCCUAUGUUCCUAACGGUCCUCAUCCGCGAGGGUGGGGAAUCAACCGCUAGGAUCGUUUACUUUGAGGAAAUUAGAGUGUUCAAAGCAGGCGUAACUCGCCUCCGAAUACGUUAGCAUGGGAUAAUGGAAUACGACUUCGGUCUUGUUUCGUUGGUUUCGCUUGGCUGAAGUAAUGAUUGAUAGGGACAGUUGGGGGCAUUAGUAUUUAGUUGUCAGAGGUGAAAUUCUAGGAUUUACUAAAGACUGACCAAUGCGAAAGCAUUUGCCAAGGAUGUUUUCAUUAAUCAAGAACGAAAGUAGGGGGAUCGAAGACGAUCAGAUACCGUCGUAGUCUCUACCGUAAACUAUGCCGACCAGGGAUCCGGAGAGUUUGCAUGGAUGACUCCCCGGGCACCUUGUGAGAAAUCAUAAGUGUUUGGGUUUUGGGGGGAGUAUGGUCGCAAGGCUGAAACUUAAAGGAAUUGACGGAAGGGCACCACCAGGAGUGGAACCUGCGGCUUAUUGCCC